Molecule: unclassified non-coding RNA, 537 nt
Filed under: Homo sapiens (human)
Lineage: Eukaryota; Metazoa; Chordata; Mammalia; Primates; Hominidae
Description: ring finger protein 31 (ENSG00000285152.2)
Source: RNAcentral
UUUCCGCCCCCCUCCUCCCGCUGGCAGGCCGCAAGCAGUAGGUAGCCCCUCAGCCAUUCCCAGCCAGUUGCCACUAGGAGAGGCGGUGCUGGCUGGGUCACAGUCCAGGGGCUGCCCGAGGGAGGGGCUAGGCCGCCCGCUACCUGCAGCUGGACGCCGCACGCCUUGUCCGCUGCAACGCUCAUGGGGAGCCCCGAAACUACCUCAACACCCUGUCCACGGCUCUGAACAUCCUGGAGAAAUACGGCCGCAACCUUCUCAGCCCUCAGCGGCCUCGGUACUGGCGUGGUGUCAAGUUUAAUAACCCUGUCUUUCGCAGCACGGUGGAUGCUGUGCAGGGGGGCCGAGAUGUGCUGCGAUUAUAUGGCUACACAGAGGAGCAACCAGAUGGGUUGAGCUUCCCCGAAGGGCAGGAGGAGCCAGAUGAGCACCAGGUUGCUACAGUCACACUGGAAGUACUGCUGCUUCGGACAGAGCUCAGCCUGCUAUUGCAGAAUACUCAUCCAAGACAGCAGGCACUGGAGCAGCUGUUGGAAG